CUACCUAACAGGCACUUAACCGUCUCACUCACUCCUACCUAAAAAACGACAAGUCGUUUUACCGGACAGUCCAUCAGCUUCUACCGUGCCGUUUGUCCGCAGAAGUAGUCGUCCACGUCUCAAACUCUUCAGUCUUCUUCCUUCCAAUCUUCCCAGGUUGGUAUGGCGACCUACAAGCUCGCUGUGAUCAUCAACAACCCUCUCAAUGACGCCGAAUUCCUCCUCGUGAGACAGACGCGCCCGCCCAAGUUCAGCGACGACGAGUACGACUCCUACGUCGAUUCUGAUCUCUGGGACUUGCCAUGGACGCCAUUGAACCUUGUAGAUGGAGAAAACGAGUCUACCGUAGAGGUCAAGGGUGCAGAAUCGUUCUCGGAGAAGAUUGAAUUGAGAAAUUUCGAUAUUAAUUUGGCUCUCAAUAGGAUUAAAGAUCAAGUGGUGUUUGGCGCAGCCGAAUUGGGAGAUUGGAAGCUCCGGAAGUACGUGGAGGAAGCUGAGUUUGGACCAGCGCCGCUUGUUCAGACUGUGUUCGUCGACGGAAAUUUAGUAGCUGGCGGUGAACAUUUGCAAGAGUCAUGCAAGUGGAUGUCUAUCCAAAGUUGUUUGAACUGGCUUGUGGAAGUGACUCCAAGUAACGACCGCGUUGGGCCAUUGGCAGUUACCGGUCUUCUAAAUGAUUCCUCGCCUUCUAGACCAUGGAAAGUCCCACAUCAAUUAAAUUAUCAGGAAUACCCUCCUGGUGUUACUCUAGUACCUAUGCAAAGUAGGACAGGAAAGCCUUUUUCUACAACGAACUUGAUUGUAUUUGCACCUGAUUGCCCUUCAUACUACAGUGAGGAUAUUAGUUUUGUUGCUAGUGGGGAUGCAAUGAUAGUUGAUCCAGGUUGUCACUCUUACCUCCACGAAGAGCUCAAGAAUAUUGUUGCUUCUCUGCCAAAGAAGUUGGUUGUCUUUCUUACUCAUCAUCACCAUGACCAUGUAGAUGGUUUAUCAGCUGUCCAACAGUGCAACCCUGAUGCUGUCUUAUUAGCACAUGAAAAUACCUUUCGUCGCAUUGGAAAAGACGACUGGUCACUUGGCUAUACUUCAAUUUCUGGAGGUGAAGACAUUUGCAUUGGGGGUCAGCGAUUGAAUGUUGUUUUUUCUCCGGGACACACAGAUGGCCAUAUGGCGCUGCUUCAUGUCAGUACUCAUUCCUUGAUUGUCGGUGAUCAUUGUGUGGGUCAAGGAAGUGCUCUCUUGGACGUUACAUCUGGUGGAAAUAUGACAGAGUAUUUCAAAUCAACUUACAAAUUUAUGGAGCUGUCUCCACAUGCUUUGAUCCCAAUGCAUGGGAGGGUUAACCUAUGGCCAAAGCACAUGCUUUGUGGAUAUCUAAAGAACCGUAGAAGUAGAGAAACUGCCAUAGUAAAAGCCAUAGAAAAUGGAGCAGAAACACUGUUUGACAUAGUGGCAAAUGUAUAUUCUGAGGUUGAUCGACGAGUGUGGGGUUAUGCCGCAUCAAAUGUCAGACUUCAUGUGGAUCAUCUGGCCCAGCAAGAUAAGUUGCCAAAGGGUUUUUCCUUAGAAACUUUCAACUCCAGUGUCGAUACAUUCGCUGACAACUUGGGUAAAUUGUAGUUCCAUUGAGGAAUAGCUUCUCAUUUGGCACAUUCUCCAGCUACCUUACUUUAGGAAUUUUCCAUCCAGAAGUUCCAGAAAACAUGUGGGCUGCGGUUCUUAUCUCGCUGGGUUUGCGCAAUACUUACCAAUAGCUUCAUGUCAAACUAUCACAAGUUAAGGACUUCAAAGUUACUUGUAGUUAGUGCUGUGGCUGUCUUUGCUUUGUUUUACUCUGUUAAAAACGCUUAGCAAUUAGUUCCAAUUUGAUUUACAGCAUAAUUUAAGACAUUAAAGAAGACUAAGCCAUACAUUAAUAUCCUAAUAAAUGUGGUGCGAAUGAAAAAUAUGAACCUGUUGUAAUAAAGUACUUUCUUUUGCUUCUUCUUCA
Molecule: RNA transcript, 1990 nt
Organism: Humulus lupulus (European hop)
Lineage: Eukaryota; Viridiplantae; Streptophyta; Magnoliopsida; Rosales; Cannabaceae
Exons: 13
Source: RefSeq, a predicted model, not a curated record